Molecule: ribosomal RNA, 335 nt
Filed under: Toxocara cati (cat roundworm)
Lineage: Eukaryota; Metazoa; Nematoda; Chromadorea; Rhabditida; Toxocaridae
Description: partial ribosomal RNA
Source: RNAcentral
AUAUGGAGAAGUAAGAUCGUGGCACGCGUACGUAUGGAAUGUGMUUAACGCGUAASUUCUGGUGCAUUCUUUCGCAACGUGCAUUCGGUGAGCUACGCCSGUAAUCGAUGUUGUGUGAAAUUAUACCACGUACCUUGCCAAGACUAUGUAUGCACAAGAAAUCGCUGUCGUUUGCUCGUGAAGAGGCGAGAAUGGCCAUUGGCGUAUGUGUUCCUUCACGAUAUGGCCUCCAGCAAGCGUUGUUUGUUGUUGCUUGGCGGCAAAAUCUAGGUUGGAGGUAACGUCAUCGGCUGCUUGAAGAAGGAAUGCGCGMUGAAUGGUUGACAUCAAAUUUU